UGGGGAAUAUUGCACAAUGGGCGCAAGCCUGAUGCAGCCAUGCCGCGUGUAUGAAGAAGGCCUUCGGGUUGUAAAGUACUUUCAGCGGGGAGGAAGGGAGUAAAGUUAAUACCUUUACUCAUUGACGUUACCCGCAGAAGAAGCACCGGCUAACUCCGUGCCAGCAGCCGCGGUAAUACGGAGGGUGCAAGCGUUAAUCGGAAUUACUGGGCGUAAAGCGCACGCAGGCGGUUUGUUAAGUCAGAUGUGAAAUCCCCGGGCUCAACCUGGGAACUGCAUCUGAUACUGGCAAGCUUGAGUCUCGUAGAGGGGGGUAGAAUUCCAGGUGUAGCGGUGAAAUGCGUAGAGAUCUGGAGGAAUACCGGUGGCGAAGGCGGCCCCCUGGACAAAGACUGACGCUCAGGUGCGAAAGCGUGGGGAGCAAACAGG
This 429-nucleotide ribosomal RNA is filed under the name Chloroflexota bacterium. RNAcentral's name for it is "Chloroflexi bacterium partial 16S ribosomal RNA". It matches the Rfam family "Bacterial small subunit ribosomal RNA", at positions 355 to 776 of the family's 1533-position model. The record is from RNAcentral. Lineage: Bacteria; Bacillati; Chloroflexota.